This 372-nucleotide ribosomal RNA is filed under the name uncultured organism. RNAcentral describes it as "partial 16S ribosomal RNA". It matches the Rfam family "Bacterial small subunit ribosomal RNA", at positions 527 to 896 of the family's 1533-position model. The record is from RNAcentral.
GUAGGUGGCAAGCGUUGUCCGGAAUUAUUGGGCGUAAAGCGCGCGCAGGCGGUUCUUUAAGUCUGAUGUGAAAGCCCACGGGCUCAACCGUGGAGGGUCAUUGGAAACUGGAGAACUUGAGUACAGAAGAGGAAAGCGGAAUUCCACGUGUAGCGGUGAAAUGCGUAGAGAUGUGGAGGAACACCAGUGGCGAAGGCGGCUUUCUGGUCUGUAACUGACGCUGAGGCGCGGAAGCGUGGGGAGCAAACAGGAUUAGAUACCCUGGUAGUCCACGCCGUAAACGAUGAGUGCUAAGUGUUAGGGGGUUUCCGCCCCUUAGUGCUGCAGCUAACGCAUCAAGCACUCCGCCUGGGGAGUACGACCGCAAGGUUG